GUGGGGAAUCUUCCGCAAUGGACGAAAGUCUGACGGAGCAACGCCGCGUGAGUGAAGAAGGUUUUCGGAUCGUAAAGCUCUUUCGUUAGGGACGAACGUGCUCUUUGUGAAUAAUGAGGAGUAAUGACGGUACCCAAAGAAUAAGCUCCGGCUAACUACGUGCCAGCAGCCGCGGUAAUACGUAGGUGGCAAGCGUUGUUCGGAAUUAUUGGGCGUAAAGCGCGCGCAGGCGGGAUAUCAAGUCUAUCUUAAAAGUGCGAGGCUCAACCUCGUGAGGGGACAGAAACUGGUAUUCUUGAGUGUCGGAGAGGAAAGUGGAAUUCCAAGUGUAGCGGUGAAAUGCGUAGAGAUUUGGAAGAACACCAGUGGCGAAGGCGACUUUCUGGACGAUGUCUGACGCUGAGGCGCGAAAGCUAGGGGAGCGAACGGGAUUAGAUACCCGGGUAGUCC
RNAcentral lists this ribosomal RNA (450 nucleotides) under uncultured bacterium. Its description in RNAcentral is "partial 16S ribosomal RNA". It matches the Rfam family "Bacterial small subunit ribosomal RNA", at positions 354 to 796 of the family's 1533-position model. The record is from RNAcentral.